GGCAGUGUGGCCUAAUGGACAGAGCACCAGACUGGGACUCAGGAAACCUGGGUUCUAUUCCCUGCCCUGCUU
This 72-nucleotide transfer RNA is filed under the name Chelonia mydas (Green sea turtle). It matches the Rfam family "tRNA". Rfam says of the family: Transfer RNA (tRNA) molecules are approximately 80 nucleotides in length. Their secondary structure includes four short double-helical elements and three loops (D, anti-codon, and T loops). Lineage: Eukaryota; Metazoa; Chordata; Testudines; Cheloniidae. The record is from Rfam by way of RNAcentral.